GAUGAACGCUAGCUAUAGGCUUAACACAUGCAAGUCGAGGGGAAACGGCAUUAUGUGCUUGCACAUUUUGGACGUCGACCGGCGCACGGGUGAGUAUCGCGUAUCCAACCUUCCCUCCACUCGGGGAUACCCCGUUGAAAGACGGCCUAAUACCCGAUGUUGUCCACAUAUGGCAUCUGACGUGGACCAAAGAUUCAUCGGUGGAGGAUGGGGAUGCGUCUGAUUAGCUUGUUGGUGCGGGUAACGGCCCACCAAGGCGACGAUCAGUAGGGGUUCUGAGAGGAAGGUCCCCCACAUUGGAACUGAGACACGGUCCAAACUCCUACGGGAGGCAGCAGUGAGGAAUAUUGGUCAAUGGACGUAAGUCUGAACCAGCCAAGUAGCGUGCAGGAUUGACGGCCCUAUGGGUUGUAAACUGCUUUUGUUGGGGAGUAAAGUGAGGCACGCGUGCCUUUUUGCAUUUACCCUUCGAAUAAGGACCGGCUAAUUCCGUGCCAGCAGCCGCGGUAAUACGGAAGGUCCAGGCGUUAUCCGGAUUUAUUGGGUUUAAAGGGAGUGUAGGCGGUCUGUUAAGCGUGUUGUGAAAUUUAGGUGCUCAACAUCUACCUUGCAGCGCGAACUGGCGGACUUGAGUGCACGCAACGUAUGCGGAAUUCAUGGUGUAGCGGUGAAAUGCUUAGAUAUCAUGACGAACUCCGAUUGCGAAGGCAGCGUACGGGAGUGUUACUGACGCUUAAGCUCGAAGGUGCGGGUAUCGAACAGG
RNAcentral lists this ribosomal RNA (763 nucleotides) under uncultured Prevotella sp. Its description in RNAcentral is "bacterial SSU rRNA". It matches the Rfam family "Bacterial small subunit ribosomal RNA", at positions 28 to 776 of the family's 1533-position model. The record is from RNAcentral. Lineage: Bacteria; Pseudomonadati; Bacteroidota; Bacteroidia; Bacteroidales; Prevotellaceae.